GAUGAAUGUUAGCACUUGUCAAUUACCUUAUGUAUUGUCUAGUCUCUUCUUUUCGCUAAUUACCGCUGUGUUAAAUAAUUAUAAUUGAAUUUUACCUAUAAAAAUAACAAAUAAUUUUCAAAAAGUCAUGCUUUUUUCGUUUUUAUUCAUUCCAAUAAAUUAAAAUUUAUGAUUCAUUACAAUUUCCGGGAAACUAAAUCGCUAAAAAAAAUUAAUGUUAGGAGGACUAUGAGACUUUUUGAAAUUCAGAUUAGAUACCGAAAUCAGACAAAACUCGGGUAUCUUGAAUGGUGACAAUCACGAUGAAACAAAUAUAUGAUGUUACUUCUCACUGGGUUGUACAAAAUUGGGUCGAUGAAUUGCGUAGUUUAGAGAGAGAAAAAGUACCGAAGACUGAAAAAGCGAGGAGAGGAAGGAAAUGGAAGCGAUAAAAUUUGAAGAAAAC
Molecule: long non-coding RNA, 445 nt
Organism: Rhopalosiphum maidis (corn leaf aphid)
Lineage: Eukaryota; Metazoa; Arthropoda; Insecta; Hemiptera; Aphididae
Exons: 3
Source: RefSeq, a predicted model, not a curated record